Molecule: RNA transcript, 1590 nt
Organism: Ictalurus furcatus (blue catfish)
Lineage: Eukaryota; Metazoa; Chordata; Actinopteri; Siluriformes; Ictaluridae
Exons: 9
Source: RefSeq, a predicted model, not a curated record
AUCUUUAACUCUUACACUCAGUCGUGAUGGAGAAUAUCGGGUUCAUCUGUCUCCUGCUGUGUGUGAGCGUACACACGGCCAACAGCGAAAAACGAUCUUGUCCAGAGAAAAACAUCUGCAUCCUUAAAUGUGGAGAGACUAACGGUAACAUGACCUGGAGCAGAGAUGUGGGUGGAAAAAGGGAGAAGAUUCUCACCGUCUACAAGGACACGGUUAUCAAACACAUCACUGAUCCAGACAGACGUUACAGCUCAGGAGGACGUCUAAUUCUGAGUAUAUAUAAAGUCUCGUUCUCAGACGCUGGUCAAUAUUACUGUAAUGAGAACUCAGUGGAGCUCCGUGUGAUAUCAAAGACUCAGAAAAACAUCAAAACGGGGGAUUGGUUGACGGUAACAGCCGUAGUAGUUGGGGGUUGUGCGCUUGUUUUAGUGUCACUUCUGGUUCUGUGGAGGUGUUUCUCCAAAAGGAAAGGUAGCACCGCCAAAGUACAGCACGAUUCAGCUGAAAAAGCAGGAUCUUCGGAUCUGUACACAUCGGUAUACAUCAACGAGACUCCAUCAGCUCCUCAACCAGCAGCUCCACAGCAGAUCCCAAAAGAUGGAUUUUACUAUCUGGCUACACAUCCAGGAAUCCAGAACAGGCGUUAACACACAACAUGUAGCACCACCGAAAUACAGCACGAUUCAGCUGAAAAAGCAGGAUCUUCGGAUCUGUACACAUCGGUAUACAUCAACGAGACUCCAUCAGCUCCUCAACCAGUUGGCCACCCCAGCAACUCACAAAGACGGCAACCAGCUUUACCUCAUCCUCACAUGUAACUCACACAAAAUUAUUACUUGUUACUCCUCUCCACACCUCUUACCAUUUCUUUAUCCAGUUUUCUAUUUCUCUCCCCUCACCCCCUCACAGUCUUCAACCUCUAUCUCUAUCUCUUUUAUGGCAAUCUUCGCUCCCUUUCCCCCCUCACAAUUCUCCUCCAUUGUCACAACCUCACUUCCCUCUGAUAGCCUCCUCUCCUCAUUGCCCUUAAACACCACAGUUGACAUUCUAUGUUCCACUCUAACAUCUUUGUUUUCAGUGACACUGACUUUGUUUACCUUCAACACGUGCAUUUGUUAUGGUUUUUUGCCCUGUCUCUGCCCCUGUAUUGUCAUUGUUUGUUUCCCGUAUGUGUCAGCAUUAGUCUCAGCUGUUUUGUGUUUCACCCCUGAUUAUGUUUAGUACUUAAACCCCUCAUGUCCCUUUGUACUUUGCGAUUAUUAGGUGAGUUUCUGUAUACCAGGCGUUUGUUUCUUGCUUCAUGUGUUAUUGGUUUGAUCUUGUUCUCACCCUCAUUCAUGAUUCCUGUUUUGCCAAUCGCUUGACCCAUUGCCUGUUAUUUGACCACGCUAUUGUCUCAUGAUUUGGAUUUGUCUGCCUGCCUCUCUUUAUUAAAAGCUCUUAUCUGCACUUGCAUCUGUCCUAACCUCCAUUACGUUUAAUUACGUGACAGAUAGAUAGAUAGAUAGAUAGAUAGAUAGAUAGAAAGAAAGAAAGAAAGAAACUUUAUUAAUCCUGAUGGAAAUUGCAACAUUACAGUAGUGGUAAAAG